This is a small nucleolar RNA of Hippopotamus amphibius kiboko, 82 nucleotides long. RefSeq annotates it as small nucleolar RNA SNORD79. The transcript has a single exon. The record is from RefSeq and is a predicted model, not a curated record. NCBI's taxonomy places the organism in Eukaryota, Metazoa, Chordata, Mammalia, Artiodactyla, Hippopotamidae.
UACAGUUAGUGAUGACUUUUUAAGUUAAACAGAUGGGAACCUCUCUGAAAAAGAAUGAAGAUUUUUUUAAAUUGAAACAGUG